This 319-nucleotide ribosomal RNA is filed under the name uncultured eukaryote. RNAcentral's name for it is "SSU rRNA". It matches the Rfam family "Eukaryotic small subunit ribosomal RNA", at positions 587 to 910 of the family's 1831-position model. The record is from RNAcentral.
AGCUCCAAUAGCGUAUAUUAAAGUUGUUGCGGUUAAAAAGCUCGUAGUUGGAUUUCUGCCGAGGACGUCCGGUCCGCCCUCUGGGUGUGUACAUGGUACGGCCUGGGCAUCUUCUUGGAAAACGUAUCUGCACUUGACUGUGUGGUGCGGUAUCCAGGACUUUUACUUUGAGGAAAUUAGAGUGUUUCAAGCAGGCCUACGCCUUGAAUACAUUAGCAUGGAAUAAUAAGAUAAGACCUCGUCUCUAUUUUGUUGGUUUCUAGAGCUGAGGUAAUGAUUAAUAGGGAUAGUUGGGGGCAUUCGUAUUUAACUGUCAGAG